This 1942-nucleotide long non-coding RNA is filed under the name Homo sapiens (human). RNAcentral describes it as "HSALNT0303007". The record is from RNAcentral. Lineage: Eukaryota; Metazoa; Chordata; Mammalia; Primates; Hominidae.
CCUCCCACCAGCCUGAGGGCGGGACGCUGAGGACCCCAGAGCCCUGCCUCCAGGCUGCUGUCGUAGUGUGACACAGCAACUUCCGAGCAGGAAGGAGAAGCCCGAUCCUAACUGGGGGAAGCUGUUUGCUUAGACAACUUUCUACACUUCAAAUAUUACACCUUAAACAACACACUGGACUAAGAAAUCUGAUCAUGUCCAGGCUUUUAACACCCUCCUCCCCCAAGGAACAAUAAAACACACCAGCGAAAACAAAGAGGCUGCCCUGAAAAGGUUGCAGUGGUGGAUGAUACUGGCAGAAUCAGAAAGGAAGCUAAGAGAAACAGGCGCGUCCUCAGCCGGGCCUCGCGUGUCCUGACACUGCAGCAGGCACGGGAUGUGGGCUGUCCCCUCCAGCACAGUGCGGGAAGGUGCUGGGGCAUCCAAACAGCAAAAGCAAACCUGAGACCCCAAAACAACUGCGUCUGGCCCAGGGGAGUGGGCAAAAAUUCCAACAGGGAGAGACCGUCUCUGGCUUAUUUACAGACAGGGUAAGUAAGGAUGCCCAAAGACAAGGCGGAGUAUUAGUAACAGAACUCAUGAAGUUCUAUGGAUCGGGAUGCUUUAAAAAAAAAAAAAAAACACCAAAGCUCAUCCAGAAUGUCUGAGGUCCCUGCAGUAACAUCCAUGCUAAUUGAAGAAAGCUAUUAGUGCUCCAUGUAAACAAGCACGCCCAAUUCAAGUUGGAACUCUUUAAAUUCUGGAAGACAGCACAUCACAUCCAGCCACGAGGGGGCGCAGCCGAGCAGCAAGGAGCGCAAAAGUCUCAUUCUUCACUGCAAUUUCUACCUACAGCUCUCUCAAAGUAUACACAUUUUCAAGAUUGUUUCCAAAUUCAGGUAUCCACAGGACACUGCUAAGCAAGCUGGGAGCUUUGCCAAGGCCAAAAUAAAUUAAAUUAUGGUACGGUUCAAACUCUGGAAGUACUGUGUAUAGGAAAGGUUGUUUCUCUGUAUAUAAAAGUUAAUACUGGUAUUUCAAAAACCAUGGUUAAAAUCCCUGGAGGAUUCCUGAAAUGAGAACAAACACACAACAACAAACACACACCCAAGUCAUGAGAUGUGAACGUGGAGAAACCAACAGUUCAGAAUUUCCAGUGGGGCUUGCAACAUGGACUCCCAAUAAAACAAUGAGUCUCAAUAAAUUCGGCACUAAGCUUUUACCAGUAUAGAUAGACGCCUUUACUGGGCCUACUUACUACUUCUUAAUAACUAUAAAUUAUCUCCAUACUGAACAGAUACUGCUUCAGGCAGUUAUUUGGGAAAACCCUUCAUAAAGGACAUUGGAGAGGGGCCAUUUAAUUAUAAAAUGUAACACAGUUAACCUUAGGGAGAUGAUGAAGCGAGAUCAUUAUGUGUAACUACUUGCUGGGAUUCUUUCUAUUUAAAUUAUAAGUUCAGGUUAUAUGAUGUUGUAUGUUCAAUAAUAAUGCUCAUAAUAGAUGAAAUGUUAUAAUGAGUCUCCACAUUUGAAAAUUGGAAACUAUAAACAUAUCUAUAUUUUAUAAUCAUUUGAAUUGUGAUACUACUUCAUAAUAAUUUGGUGUCAGAGUAUGUUUUUAGCAUUUUGAGUCUAAGGCCUCAUUAACAUUAGGGUAAGGAACUCUCAGAUUUGACAAUUUUUCCCAUAAGAUUACGUGCUUUACUAGUAAAGACUAGCCAGCAUUGCCCAACCUCCCAUUCUCGGGCAUAAUGAAAAUAUUUUUUCUCCUGUAUUUAUAAUUGCUUGGAUGGGAUUCUGUUUCAAUCCUCCUGUAGCAUCUUUUCCCUAAAGAUACACUGUUUUUCUCCCUCACACUAGAGACCCUUAAUAAACAAUGUCAAGGAGGUGGGGAACUUAGAGUAGAAAGGAAAGGCUUUGCCAAAAGUAUGUGACAGUUUUUGUGUUUAAAAAAAAAAAAAAA